This 505-nucleotide ribosomal RNA is filed under the name uncultured bacterium. RNAcentral describes it as "partial 16S ribosomal RNA". It matches the Rfam family "Bacterial small subunit ribosomal RNA", at positions 28 to 523 of the family's 1533-position model. The record is from RNAcentral.
GAUGAACGCUAGCUACAGGCUUAACACAUGCAAGUCGAGGGGUAACAAGAGAAAAGCUUGCUUUUCUUGUUGACGACCGGCGCACGGGUGAGUAACGCGUAUCCAACCUGCCCAUAACUAGGGAAUAACCUUGCGAAAGUAAGACUAAUACCCUAUAAUUUCCUUUGACGGCAUCUGACGAGGAAUAAAGAUUUAUCGGUUAUGGAUGGGGAUGCGUCUGAUUAGCUUGUUGGCGGGGUAACGGCCCACCAAGGCAACGAUCAGUAGGGGUUCUGAGAGGAAGGUCCCCCACAUGGGAACUGAGCCACGGUCCAAACUCCAAGGGGAGGAAGCAGUGAGGAAUAUUGGUCAAGGGGCGGAAGCCUGAACCAGCCAAGUAGCGUGCAGGAUGACGGCCCUAUGGGUUGUAACUGCUUUUAUACAGGAAUAAAGUUAGCCACGUGUGGUUAUUUGUAGGUACUGUAUGAAUAAGGACCGGCUAAUUCCGUGCCAGCCGCCGCUGUAA